This 114-nucleotide ribosomal RNA is filed under the name Nafulsella turpanensis. The record is from RNAcentral. Lineage: Bacteria; Pseudomonadati; Bacteroidota; Cytophagia; Cytophagales; Cesiribacteraceae.
UUAUGGUGACUAUUGCGGCGGGGCUCACCUCUUCCCAUUCCGAACAGAGAAGUUAAGCCCGCCCGCGCUGAUGGUACUGCCGUAACAGGUGGGAGAGUAAGUCGUCGCCAUUCU